AGUCGAGAGGGUUCGGCCCUCGGCUGACGGCUCAGUAACACGUGGAUAAUCUACCCUAAGGUGGAGGAUAACCUCGGGAAACUGAGAAUAAUACUCCAUAGGUCUAGGAUGCUGGAAUGCACUUAGGCUGAAAACUUCGGUGCCUUAGGAUGAGUCUGCGGACUAUCAGGUUGUAGUCAGGGUAAAGACCUGACUAGCCUACGACGGAUACGGGUUGUGAGAGCAAUAACCCGGAGAUGAUAUCUGAGACACGAUAUCAGGCCCUACGGGGCGCAGCAGGCGCGAAACCUUCACACUGCGCGAAAGCGCGAUGAGGGAAUCCCAAGUGCUUGCACGUAAGUGUAAGCUGUUUUUAUGUCUAAAAAGCAUAGAGAGUAAGAGCUGGGUAAGACGGGUGCCAGCCGCCGCGGUAAUACCUGCAGCUCGAGUGGUGGUCGCUAUUAUUGGGCCUAAAACGUUCGUAGCCGGUUUGUUAAAUGCCUAGGUAAAUAGUAUAGCUUAACUAUACGAAUUCUGGGUAGACUGUCAAACUUGAGAUCGGGAGAGGCUAGAGGUACUCCUGGGGUAGAGGUGAAAUUCUGUAAUCCUAGGGGGACCACCAGUGGCGAAGGCGUCUAGCUAGAACGAGUCUGACGGUGAGGGACGAAGCCCUGGGGCGCAAACGGGAUUAGAUACCCCGGUAGUCCAGGGUGUAAACGCUGCUUGCUUGAUGUUAGUCGGGCUCUGAGCCCGAUUAGUGUCGGAGAGAAGUUGUUUAGCAAGCUGCCUGGGAAGUACGGUCGCAAGGCUGAAACUUAAAGGAAUUGGCGGGGGAGCACAGCAACGGGUGGAGCGUGCGGUUUAAUUGGAUCAACGCCGGA
RNAcentral lists this ribosomal RNA (860 nucleotides) under uncultured archaeon. Its description in RNAcentral is "bacterial SSU rRNA". It matches the Rfam family "Archaeal small subunit ribosomal RNA", at positions 56 to 922 of the family's 1478-position model. The record is from RNAcentral.